AACGAACGCUGGCGGCAGGCUUAACACAUGCAAGUCGAACGCUCCGCAAGGAGAGUGGCAGACGGGUGAGUAACACGUGGGAACGUACCCUUUACUACGGAACAACUCCGGGAAACUGGAGCUAAUACCGUAUGUGCCCUUUGGGGGAAAGAUUUAUCGGUAAAGGAUCGGCCCGCGUUGGAUUAGCUAGUUGGUGGGGUAAAGGCCUACCAAGGCGACGAUCCAUAGCUGGUCUGAGAGGAUGAUCAGCCACAUUGGGACUGAGACACGGCCCAAACUCCUACGGGAGGCAGCAGUGGGGAAUAUUGGACAAUGGGCGCAAGCCUGAUCCAGCCAUGCCGCGUGUGUGAUGAAGGCCUUAGGGUUGUAAAGCACUUUCACCGGAGAAGAUAUUGACGGUAUCCGGAGAAGAAGCCCCGGCUAACUUCGUGCCAGCAGCCGCGGUAA
Molecule: ribosomal RNA, 447 nt
Filed under: uncultured bacterium
Lineage: Bacteria
Description: partial 16S ribosomal RNA
Rfam family: Bacterial small subunit ribosomal RNA
Source: RNAcentral